AGCAGUGGGAGCACGCUUAGGCGUGUGACUGCGUACCUUUUGUAUAAUGGGUCAGCGACUUAUAUUCUGUAGCAAGGUUAACCGAAUAGGGGAGCCGAAGGGAAACCGAGUCUUAACUGGGCGUUAAGUUGCAGGGUAUAGACCCGAAACCCGGUGAUCUAGCCAUGGGCAGGUUGAAGGUUGGGUAACACUAACUGGAGGACCGAACCGACUAAUGUUGAAAAAUUAGCGGAUGACUUGUGGCUGGGGGUGAAAGGCCAAUCAAACCGGGAGAUAGCUGGUUCUCCCCGAAAGCUAUUUAGGUAGCGCCUCGUGAAUUCAUCUCCGGGGGUAGAGCACUGUUUCGGCAAGGGGGUCAUCCCGACUUACCAACCCGAUGCAAACUGCGAAUACCGGAGAAUGUUAUCACGGGAGACACACGGCGGGUGCUAACGUCCGUCGUGAAGAGGGAAACAACCCAGACCGCCAGCUAAGGUCCCAAAGUCAUGGUUAAGUGGGAAACGAUGUGGGAAGGCCCAGACAGCCAGGAUGUUGGCUUAGAAGCAGCCAUCAUUUAAAGAAAGCGUAAUAGCUCACUGGUCGAGUCGGCCUGCGCGGAAGAUGUAACGGGGCUAAACCAUGCACCGAAGCUGCGGCAGCGACGCUUAUGCGUUGUUGGGUA
Molecule: ribosomal RNA, 661 nt
Filed under: Escherichia coli
Lineage: Bacteria; Pseudomonadati; Pseudomonadota; Gammaproteobacteria; Enterobacterales; Enterobacteriaceae
Description: partial 23S ribosomal RNA
Rfam family: Bacterial large subunit ribosomal RNA
Source: RNAcentral